GGGGAGAUUCCCAGUCUGUUACAUGCAUUCCUGAACUCAACAUGACUGCCAGGAGUGAAAGCCUUAAACCUCAGGGACUAUGAAAUCUCAUCAACAGCCCAUAGAAUGUUUUUCUCUUGUCAAGAGAAUAUGAUGUUUGUAGUGGCAAAUUUCCUGCAUCAUGAGAGGCAGCAAGCUGUACGAUCGAGCUCCAAGAGAAAAGAGAAAAAUAGGGCCAAACAACACGUUACAGGGAGCUUAGAAAAAAGCUGCCAUGAAACCUAUCUCAUGAGGAUGGCCACAUCGCCAAAAAAGAGGACAUGUAUCACAAAAGAGUCUAUUGACCAUGUGCUACCAAUUGAUGGACAACUUCAAGGCUGCUGCAUUCCGUUUUUGUGGUUCUUUAUUAUCUAUAAACCAGACUUGAACUGAACAAUCUUUGAAACAAGACACCCUCAAGAGUACUAUCCUCUGUACAGUAACACACAUAAACACUUUACACUUCAUGUACCAUAUAGCCAAAUCUAAUUGACUUUAUAGCAUUGUGAAGCCAUUCCAUUCACUGUAUGAUCUAUGAUUUUGGGGGAUCCAAAAUCUAGGAAGAAGGAAUAAACAAUUUAUGCUUUUCCUUAUAUAGCUGCAAAUACAAACCACUAAGAACUUUUGCUCAAAUAUGCAGUUAUUUUAUAUACCUAGUCUCCAUAUUUAGGGAAACAUUCCUCAUUUAAAAUCUAAAACACAGAAUAUUGUCUACUGUUCUCAAGUCAUUCAUUUUUUUAUUACAAAACAUGGGCUUUAGAAAUAUGGAAAGGGCAAAACAUUCAUGAUUUUUUUCACCAAGAUAGCUCAGAAAGGACAAAAUGCCCCAUGAAAAAUAUUUGAUUAUCUCUGGAAUAUGACCAAACAGCCCCAGUUGUUUUUUCAAGGGAAAUAAAGCAUGAUCUCAAUUGCACUGUUAUACUGUUCUGCAGUGAAGCAAGGGGGAAAUCUUCUGGCAAAAGACAGGGGGAUUUCCAAUUAUGUAGUUUUGGGGGUUAUUUUUUAUCCUUGAAAUAAAUUCUUAAACUGAAUUAUCCCACAUGUUGUGCUUGGAGGUAUUCCCAGUGAUUUGCUCAGCAGGAGACAAGUGGAGGAUGGAUCCAAGCUCACCCAGAUCCAGUUUUGA
Long non-coding RNA from Rhineura floridana, 1144 nucleotides. RefSeq lists it as uncharacterized. The record is from RefSeq and is a predicted model, not a curated record. NCBI's taxonomy places the organism in Eukaryota, Metazoa, Chordata, Lepidosauria, Squamata, Rhineuridae. The transcript has 4 exons.